Molecule: long non-coding RNA, 994 nt
Organism: Humulus lupulus (European hop)
Lineage: Eukaryota; Viridiplantae; Streptophyta; Magnoliopsida; Rosales; Cannabaceae
Exons: 2
Source: RefSeq, a predicted model, not a curated record
UCUUCUUCUUCUCUUGCUCAACUCAAAUUUUGUUUUUUUGAUUCCUUAUGUGGUUCUGUUUGUGUGUUGUAACGACUGUUAUGUAAAAUUGACCAUGGAAAUGUUUAAUAGCAAACUAACAUUUUUUCAAAAGAAUUUGUUGUGAUUUGCAGCACCAAGAUUCACUUUCAACCUGAAAAACCAGUCAAGAAAGAAAACUAACACAAUAUACCAGUAGUUCAUCACAGCAAAGUAGAGAACUUUAAUCAAACAGAAGAAAACUUAAACAUAUGGUACAAUACCAUUAGUUUAUCACAUCAAAGUAGAGAACUUUAAUCAAACAGUAAGAAAACUUAAACAUAGAGAAGAACACCAGCUUUAUACUUCCAGUUUGAGCACUAUCUUGAGCUCCUCCACUAUGAAUCAAAAGCAGUAAUACACUUGUAUCUAUACAGUUGAGAAUCAACACUCAGGUCAGAUCUCUCUCAAGAGUCACUCAGUACAAUCUCUUUAAUGUACUCUCAAAGUGUAUAUAUAGCCAGCCAAACAGAACAUGACUUAUCCAGCUAUAUAACAGACUUAUCAAAGUAAUUGAUGUCAUGGCAGGUUGGAGAAUUAAUACCACAGAAUUUAUUUGCAAAAAUUACACUAAAUUUACACUGUUCUGACCCUGUGUGAAUUCAAUGAGGUUAUUUAGCAAAUCUAAUACUUUUAUAUGGUCAGUUUAGCAAAUUCCUGGUUUGUUUGUGAUGCAUGUUAAGCUAAUGUGUUCUUAUUGUAAGCGACAUGACGAAACUGAAGUGCCAGAUCCUUAUUAUGGUGGACAACAAGGCUUUGAGAAGGUUUUGGAUUUACUUGAAGAUGCUUGUGAAUCAUUGCUUGAUAGCAUAUUGGCAGAGAACAAAAACAUCUAGGAAGAAAGAAAAUGAGAUAAAAUGCCAAUUGGUCACCAGUCUGGCUUUGGUUCCUUCUCUGUGAUCAAAUUUUAUUUUCCUAUUCUUGCUAAUAAUGAUAU